AUUGAACGCUUGCGGCAGGCCUAACACAUGCAAGUCGAACGAGUGGCGGACGGGUGAGUAAUGUCUGGGAAACUGCCUGAUGGAGGGGGAUAACUACUGGAAACGGUAGCUAAUCCCGCAUAACAUCAGAUGUGCCCAGAUGGGAUUAGCUUGUUGGUGGGGUAACGGCUCACCAAGGCAACGAUCCCUAGCUGGUCUGAGAGGAUGAACGGCCACACUGGAACUGAGACACGGUCCAGACUCCUACGGGAGGCAGCAGUGGGGAAUAUUGCACAAUGGGCGAAAGCCUGAUGCAGCCAUGCCGCGUGUAUGAAGAAGGCCUUCGGGUUGUAAAGUACUUUCAGUGGGGAGGCGUUACCGGCAGAAGAAGCACCGGCUAACUCCGUGCCAGCAGCCGCGGUAAUUC
RNAcentral lists this ribosomal RNA (406 nucleotides) under uncultured bacterium. RNAcentral's name for it is "partial 16S ribosomal RNA". It matches the Rfam family "Bacterial small subunit ribosomal RNA", at positions 30 to 526 of the family's 1533-position model. The record is from RNAcentral.